AUCAAAAGCCCCAGCUCCCAACAUCUAUCUAUACCUAAUGGUUCUAAUCAUAAAGAAAGAACAAAGAACACGAUUCAAAGAGGGAAAAGGAGAAGAGAGGGAGAAGAUAGAAGGGUUCAAAAGGGAAGGGAAGGGUUUCAAUCUCUCUUUCUGGACACUUUGACGGUACGGAAAGACUGGUUUGGCGGCGGUAACGAUCGACGGUUGAUGAUACAGAAGUUAUUAGCUUCCUUCUCUCAAUAGAAAUAAUUCCACUAUGCCUGUGGACGAUGGAGAUGGGCAGUGAACUAUCAAAAACAGAGCCAAGCAAAGGGACAAAUGGCAAGAAACAUUCUCAUAGAAUGCAGGUAAACUUGCACAUUUCUCAUGCUUGUACUUUUGCUUGCUUGCUUUUCUACUCAAGCUUUUGUCAUUAUUGCAUAUGGAUCCCAUCAUCUAUUAAAUUUGAGUAAACAAAUACUUCGUACCAUUGUAUUCCAAUUUUUUUAGGAUAAGGAAAACAGAGCAAGUGGUGAACAUAGGGUGCACAGAGGUGGUGCUUGGAAGAAUUCCCUUCACCAGAAGCCUUAAAGCAUUGAAUUAUUGUUUCAACCAAACCACCAAUAGAAUAUCAGGAAAGGAGUCACCAGACCUUGCAGCUUAGCUGGAUCCUGAUGACAAGAUGAGCUUAGAAAUAAAUUUAUUUCAUCAGCUUAUAAUCUACAAAUGAAAUUUACUUCAUUCUGUUAUAAUUUCUAAGGUUCUCAAUUACUUUAACAUGUUAAAAUUUUGUUAUGGUUAAUAGGACGACAUCGAUCAGGAUGAUGAAGGCAAUGAUGACUGUGAGCAGAAAUCAUGCCAGCUAGGAGCACGUCAAUACAAGCAUCCGAUUGCAAUUCAUGCUGGGAAACCAAAGAAUGGAUUGAAAGAGGCUUUGAGGGCUGGAAUUGGAAAAAUUAAACGUCUUAGUUUGAGUGAAACAACACUUGAAAAGGCAGCAAAAUCUUAUGGAAUUGACCUUGUGAGGUUCACACAGAAGAAUAUUCUGAGGGUAUACCCAAAGUGGACCCGAGUCACCUCCUCAAAUUUCAAUCCACUUACUGGAUGGAUGCAUGAAGCUCAGAUGGUUGCAUUUAAUCUGCAGGUUAGUUUUGAAGUCUUAUGUCUUCAUAAAAUCAUGUUAUUCAUGUUUUUUUGGUGAGCUUUGGUAAUAUUUUCUCUAUUUCUUAAUCUUGUGUGGUUUGAUUAGUUAAUGAUGUAGAAUGCAAGUUCAGUUAAAAAAAUGGCUUAAAUAUAUGGAGUGGGAAAAUAUUACUUUUUAGGAUUGAUUUCUAGUUUUUUAUUCUAUUUUUGCUAUUGACAUCUAUGUAAAGCUUAUAUUAUACACUAUGGUCUCUAGAUAACUUGGAAUUUUUCUAAUUCUAUCUUUUUCAUUUUGUUAGUUCAAUUUCAUCCUAUUACAAUGUAAUGUAACAGCAUUGAAAAUAAAAAAUAAAAAAUGACUACAUUGCAGCUUCUAGUAGUAGCAUAAUAUUACAUAGAAUGUCAAAUUUGAGUCACAUGACGUGAUUUGUUUAAUGUUAAUAUUCUUAUAGAGGUUAAUAUUCAACCAAUAUCUUGGGAAUCUGGG
This is a non-coding RNA of Camellia sinensis, 1609 nucleotides long. The record is from RefSeq and is a predicted model, not a curated record. Lineage: Eukaryota; Viridiplantae; Streptophyta; Magnoliopsida; Ericales; Theaceae.